GCAACCUAAGCCACUGCUAAAUUAACCCACUGAGCCAGGCCAGGGAUUGAACCCACAUUGCUGCAGAACAACACUCAGUCCUUAACCCACUGUGCCACAGCAGGAACUCCCCACUGGGUGAUUUUGAAGAUUCGGUGAGAUAGAGAUUUAAGGCAUCUGUCAUUAAUGGGGGAAGUUGGUUCCUAUCAUUUUCCCAUUGUUUUUCCUUUCUGAUUAACAUUAUGAAUUGACAUGUUAAAAUACGUUUUAAAAAUAUUCUUGAGUCACAAAAAUCUGUGCGUAGUUUGACAUAUAUCAGGAUUGCUUCUGAGGGAGUAUGAAUGUACUGAGAUGUAAUUAUUUUUCUUUGUGUGAUUUGCAUGUCAUUUCAUGCUUGGGAAGAACAUUUUCUUUAGCUAGAGUUGGAUGCUUUAGGCCAUAGAGGUUUGGAAAUAAGAAAUUUGUAUUUAAGCAAUAGGGUGAAGGGAUGGUUCUAGUAAGUAUGGGCAAAUAUAACUCAGGUUCUGUGGGCAGUCAUUUUUGUUUUAUUAAGAAUUCCCAUCGUGGUGCAGCAGAAACGAAUCCGACGAGGAACCAUGAGCCACAAUGGGAACUCCAAGGUGUUUAAUUUCUUCAAGCCAUUCACAUGUUAACCUUUGACUGAUAAAGUGAUCUGCAAUGACUGGGGGCUCCUCUACCUUUAUUUAAAAAUAAUGAACUAAGUAGAAUUAUAACAUGGUAGACCUAGGUUAGGAAUAAAGACAUUUUUCCAUGAAUGAGAUCAUGUUUGUUUACAGUGUUACUGAGAAAUUUGUGGAAUUGCACUUGGCAGCCUUUUCUGAAAUAACUUAAGUUGGUUGUCUGUUAAGAUAAGGAAAAUGGGCCAUGUGACCAACCAGGGACGUUCCUUCCUUAACCUGGUGUCUAGGAAAAAUAUUUUGGAAGGAGAUGUGUGCUUUAAGAUGACUGUUUUCUUGGUGAAUUAUAUUGCAAGUCUGGCACAGUGUGCAGAAUAUUCCUUGGCAGGGCAGCUUUCAAGGCAGGUGCCCAGGGCACACCUAUGUGCCACAGAAGCAGACCUCUCUGUCUGCAGGCUCCUCCUGACUUGUUAGGACAAGACAAUGGCAGUAUUUGGAUCACAGAACUAAUGAUAAAGGAAAAGACCGACUAGUGAGAGGCCUUCUCUGCCAGGAGCAAAGUCCUCAUUUCAAUAGAAGUGUUAGGUUGCUUUAGAGCAGGAAGGGCUCUGCAGCUCUGAAAGAAAGGGCUCUGGGGACUCACAGCGACAUUUUCUCACUCUUUAUCUCUCCUUUCUCUCGGUCCACUGUGUGGACUGUCAAGCUUCCUUCACAUAGCUGGUUCCCUGCAGUCAAAUGUCACUGCCGUUUUCCUCUCCUUCCCACUCUGGUUUUGGUCUAUCACUGAUUUUUAAGCCCAUGAAUUAUGCCUUUUAUUCUCUUCUUUGCUUAGUGAGUCCCUUAAGGGAAGCAGCUUGCUGUGCUCUUUUAAAAGGAAGUAAAAAGGCAAGGGGCUGUUUCAGGAUGUGGUUCCUCCAUAAAGACUGCAGUUUGGUGCAUUUACAGAUGGAUCUACAUAUCGUUCUCUGUACACAUACUUUCUAGACAUAUAAAAAUAAAGGAUGCAAAAUGCUGAAGGUUGCAUUGUCAGAACAAGUAUUCUGAAUUUCACUCUUGAAAUACCAAGAAGAAAUUCAUUCCUCUAGAUUCCCACUUGGGAAAGAGAAUUUAAUUAAAAGGUCCUGUAGCAGCCCUUGCAGCAGUAAAUUAAGGAUUGAGAAGAACCCCUGGGUGAACACGGUCAUAUCUGUAAGAUUUGUUGGUAGCUUCCUGCAAGUCAUGAAGAUUAAGGAACAAGACAUUUUGAUAAUUAAGUAUGAAGUCUAUUAGCAUUGUUCGUUCAGUACUGAUAUUGAUAGGUGGUGUUAACUCACUGCUCCUCAUUCCCUGCCCUGACUUAACUGAAUGUAUUUGUGUGGCAACUGGUCAGGCAUGAGUUGACCAUGGGACAGCUCUGCAGUCCCAGAGCUGAGUGAUGCUAAGUGACCCUAACAGAGACCAUGUUUCCUGCUUUCACUAUGUGCUCAAGAGAAAGUGGAAAAUAUAUGUGAAAGAAAAUUCACAUUUUACAGCAAGACAAAAAACAUUUAAACAUAAAAAUUCCUCUCUGCCCUCUGACCUCCCCUCUCCCUCACCAUGCAUUAUGCAUCCACCAGACCUCCGCCAUCGGCAGGAAUACCUGCUCAACCAUAAACAGCAAUGUUUUCUUAGCAUCAACAAGACAGCUCCUUAAAAGAUAACAUCCCUUCUUGAUCUUGUAAGGUCACAUGAUCCGCCAGGAUGGCACUCAGAUCUGGAUUAUGUAAACUGUCAAUAUAUGACAUUUGAUGAACAGCAGUUUGUGUAACUGUGCCUUGUUUUCUAACCAGUGGAACAGUUCUCAGAGCUGAGAGGCUCUUCUCAGGUUAUAAUCCUCAAAUUUGGCUCAAAUAAAAUUUUCCAAUUCUUUCUUAGAUCGACUGAUUAAUUUUUCAUGGACAAUAAAACUCAAGAAGUUAAAACCAUUUUUUUAUGAUUAUGUUAGAAGAUCUAGUAUUUGGGGGUUCAGUAUAUUACCCAUUAACUUAAGCAUCCUAUUUGGAAACCUGGUCUAUAGCCUUAAGAAUGUUUCAUAUUAAUUAAACACUGGCAAAAUAUUAUUGUGUUAACAUCUUUUUAAUGUAAUUAAAUGAUCUAAACCUCUUGAAUAACAAGUAGAAACAUAGGCUUUUAGUUUUUAAAGCUGAGCUAGGGAGUUCCAGUUGUGGCUCAGUGUAACGAACCCAACCAGUAUCCAUGAGGAUGCCGAUUUGAUCCCUGGCCCCACUCAGUGGGUUAGGGAUCUGGUGUUGCCGUAGGUUGCAGACAUGGCUCAGAUCUAGUGUUGCUGUGGCUGUGGCUGUGGCUAGCAGCUAUAGCUCCAACUGGACCCCUAGCCUGGGAAUUUCUGUAUGCUGUAGGUGCAGCCUUGAUAAGAAAAAAUUUUUAAAAAUUUAAAAAUUUAAACAAUAAAAAGCUGAGCUAGAUAGGUAUGCUUUACAAAAAAAACCAACAACAAAAAAACCCCCAGUAAUUUCUAAUUAAAGUUGCAAGCUGGAAAUGCUUGUGAGACUGGAGAUUCCCGAUGAUGGUAGGACACACUCAAGUUUGAGAACUUCAGUAUUUUAAUACUGACAAGGAUAUCUGCUGAUAAAAUAUGUUAAAAUUUGACAAGUAAUAGAAGAAAAGAAAGCUAUAAAAUGUUGCUUGUUUUAUGAUCCUUGUUUCAGUAAGCUACCUCUGGUGGGAUUUUCAUGAUUUCAUGAUUUUGGUGGGAUUUAUCAUGAUUUUCAUGAUAGAUAACAAGGCAUUUCUUAAUUAUGGGCUUGCUUCCUACAAUAAAAGUGUUGCUCAAUAAAGUGUUUCUGCUUCAUUUAUGCUUUCUCCCAUAAAGCAUUCCAAAUGAAAGGUUAAUUUACCUGGCAUUCCCAAUCAUCCAUAAAAGGAAGUCCAACGUUAAAAAAAAAAAAAGAGUUAGUGAUUUUUUCAGGGCUAGUUCUAUCAGUAUUACCCAGAGGCCAUAAAUAGCAAGAUAAGAUCAAAAUGAUGGGCUCCCAGAGGAGACCAAACAGUAACCCUGAGAACAGUGGCUUCAGGGCUGAAGGGAGUGAGGGGCAGCUGACAUUCAGGCAGCUGCUGGUGACAAGUACGUCAACCACAAGUGGGAAGGCUUAGAGAAAAUACCUCCAAGAAUGUAUAAACUUUACCUCCAGUUCAUCUUCAAUUUUCUGCUUCAAAAAUGUGGCCUAAAUAUAAGCAAGUUGGGAUGAGAGCCCACAGGAAGCCAGCCUGUUAAACAAGGGCUGUGAGAGACAGGAAUCUAAGAGGCAGCUGAAAACAGUGGUGGUGGGAUCUGCAAAAGCUCUUGAGAAAAACCAGAAGAUGGAUACACAACAUGGAAGGUAGUGUUGCAAGGUCAUCAGCCUUUUCAGGGAAACCAGAGAGGGCAAUGGAAAGCACUGGGAAUGGGAAACAAAAGACCCAAGUGUUUUCUCAGCUCUGUCACUUGAAACACCGGGCAAGGUAAACAAGCUUUUUUUUUUUAAAGGAAAUGGUUGAGCUAAAGGAUUUCUAGGGUCCCUUUCCAAUGUAAUGCCAUCCUCUAAGCCACGCCUUGAUUAUACAAAAUGACUGUCAUUGGUACUUCAGAGUCACCUUUUAGUUAAUGGUUAUGUAUAUAUCACCUUUGCUUUUUUUGUAUGCCUACACAGUGGACUAUCAGUUGGCUUAACCCAAUCGAAAAUAAAUUCUCAGUGAACGCAACUACUCUUUGCACUUUUUUCACAUGUAACUCCUCCAUUAAUAUUACAACCUUAAUUUGCUUUUUGUCAUAUAAAAGUAUAUAUAUAGUUUACAUAUAUAUUUUACAUAUAUAUAUUUACAAAUAAUACAUAUUAUUUAGUUCUGUCUAAAAGCUCAAUAUAUAAAAUUUUACUAAGAGAAUGCAAACCAAAAUAGGUCCUCUCGUCAUGGAAACACAGUCUGGAUGAAGAGUAAAUGUAUAGCAUUGAGUUUGAUUAGGUUUGAUUAGCAUUGAGUUUGCCCAGAGGCUUAGCUUGGCAGAGCAGGGGCAGGGUUGAGAACAGGACAAGAACCGAGAGAGAUUCCCAAUAUUUAUUUGGUUUGUCACAAGUUCCCAAAGUUAAGAAGAUCCAUUACCCAAGAUCAGUAAACUUUACCUAGCUACAGAAAAGGGAUGAAUUGAGGUCACAAUUCAUUGCGAAUUAUCUUUUCUCUGCAUAGGCUUGGAUCAAAAUAUUCAAAUUCAGAGAUAGAGAAAUAAAAAGAAAUUUGUUUUUUUGACUAGUAAUGUAUAGAAAAGAAUGUUCUUUAACUUAUGCCAUUUACCCCUUGAAUCACUGCUUUCAUAGGAAAGCCCAAGUCAGCGUUAAGCUCCCAUUUGCAUCUAAGAAAUAAUGGUAACAUAUUCCUAAAAAUAUGUCAACAGUGGGAGGAUUCUGGGGGAGCAGGAGGGAUAGUCAGAAACCAAAUUCUUAGAGUGGUCCUCCAUAAUUUUGGUGGAAGCACAGAUGGAUCUCUUAAAAUAUUAGAGCAGGGCCCUAUAUUUUGUUACAAGUUUCAUGGCAUUAAAACCCAAGAAUCCUUCUGCUAUUGCCCAAAACUAAAAUAUUGAAGACAACUUUCUUUUUUGUGUGGCUUUCAUUUGGGGGCCCAGAAAUGAUAUUUAAAUUGAAAUCCUUCUAUGAAAGAUAGCAUGGUAAGAUAGUACUAACAAUAGCCCUUGCAGGGACUGAUUAAAUAAUUUUCUUAUGAAUAUAAGAAUAAGAUGAGAAAAAAGGACAACUAUGUUUUGAUGUGGAAGGUUGUAAGCCACAGUGUGGCUUCCCUGAAACUUUUUCCUGUUUAUUCCAAGGAAAACAUUAAUUAUAUCUUGCAUUGUUCUCAUGGCAUCUUGCAUAUAACUAAAUGGUUAUGAUAAUAUGUCAUAUAAUAUGAUUACAUUAAGAUGUUCUCCCAUCCCUGUCUCCCACAUUAGAAAUGAUGCCUUCAAGAUCAUACUGGUUAGAGAUGGGAUUAAGAUGACAGAAUAGACGAGCUGGAGCUCAACUUCUCCCCUGAAAACAACAAAAUUCACAACUAAAGGUUGAGCAAUCUUCAACCAAAUUCACUGGAAACCUUAAAAAAGAUAUCCUACUCCAGAAGACAAAGAGGAGGCCACAUCAAGAGGUAGGAGGGGCGAUUACACAAUAUAAACAACCCCAUACGUCCUGGGUGGGAAGCCCCACAGACUGGAAACUAACUGGUUCACAGAGACUCACCUACAUGAGUGAGAAUUCUGAGCCCCACAUAAAACUCCCACGUGUGGGGAUCUGGCACUGGGAGAAAGAGCCCCUGGAGCAUCUGGCAUCGAUGGCUAGUGGGGCUUGUGCACAGGAGCUCCACAGGACUGGGGGAAACCGAGACCCCAUUCUUAAAAGGCGCACACAGACCUUCACAUGCACUGGGUCCCAGGGCAAAGCAAAGUCUCCAUAGGAAUCUGGGUCAAACCUGACUGCAGUCCUUGGAGGAUAUCCUGGGAAAACAGGGGUGAAUGUGGCUUGUUGUGGAGGAAAGGCAUUGGAGGCAAACCUCUCAGGAAUAGUCAUCAGCAUGCCUUUCUCUGGGGUGGCCAUUUUGGGAAAAUCUGGCCCCACCCAGCAGUCAGCACUGAGAAGCUCCAGGGCAAACAACAAUCCAGGUGGGAUCACAGCCCUGCCCCUCAGUAAACAGGCUGCCUAAAGACCCCUCAGGCAAAUAGCUGCCUCUACUCCCAUCCAGAGUCUAAGCCCCAGCCACUAGCAGGAUUAGAAUCAGCUCCACCUACUAGGGGGCAGGCAUCAGCCCCUCCCAUCAGGAAGCCUACAGCAAGCCCCCAUACAAACUUCAGCCACAAGGGGGGAAGACACCAGAAGUAAGAGAGGCUACAACUCUAUUAUCUGUAAAAAGGUCACCACACCAAAAACCUAUAAAAAUGAAAAGACAGAGAGCUGUAACUCAGAUGAGGGAGAAAGGAAAAACCCCAGAAAAUCAGCUAAGUGAUGAAGAGAUUCUCAGCCUCCAGGAAAAAGAAUGUAGACUCUUGAUGCUGAAGAUGACGCAAAACAUUGGAAAUAAACUGGAGGCAAAGAGGGAUAACUU
RNAcentral lists this long non-coding RNA (6713 nucleotides) under Sus scrofa (pig). Its description in RNAcentral is "lncRNA (ENSSSCG00060028065.1)". Lineage: Eukaryota; Metazoa; Chordata; Mammalia; Artiodactyla; Suidae. The record is from RNAcentral.